UAUUUUAUCUGGAAUUAAUUCUCAUCUAAUUAUAAAAGAUACACAUCUAAUUACUUAUUAAAAUCCCCCGUAAUCGCAAGAUCUCCUACAUUAAUAAGUUAAUGUAAAACCCUGGAAGAUCACAAGUACUUCUGACAAGGAA
This is a non-coding RNA of Populus trichocarpa (black cottonwood), 142 nucleotides long. NCBI's taxonomy places the organism in Eukaryota, Viridiplantae, Streptophyta, Magnoliopsida, Malpighiales, Salicaceae. The record is from Rfam.